Molecule: long non-coding RNA, 202 nt
Filed under: Hordeum vulgare
Lineage: Eukaryota; Viridiplantae; Streptophyta; Magnoliopsida; Poales; Poaceae
Description: long non-coding RNA (HVUL_LNC018423)
Source: RNAcentral
UCCUCCUCUUCUUCUUCUUCUUCUUCUUCUUCUUCAUCAUCAUCAUCAUCAUCAUCAGCAUCAUCAUUGAUGGGGUUAUAGUCCGAGGGUAGGAUCAUAGGUCUGACCUAUAGGUCCUACCCAAGAACUACCCUUCAUAGGGGACAAGGCCCUUAGACAGUUCCGACUGAACUAAGGACGCCCCCAUCAUCCAGUCGAAGAC